UUCGUGGCGAACGGUCAGAGGUCGAUUCGCGAACGGUCAUACGUCGAUGCCCGAACGCACCGAACCAAUCGAACCUAGUUCACCAUUGUGCAUUUUAUUUUACUUUUCAUUUUAUCGUUUGUUGCAAAUGGAGCAUUAUGUAUAGGCUGCUUGUCUUUGCCGUGGACGACACUAAAGACCUCUAAGUUUAAGUAGCUCUCUUAGCAGAACGAGAGCCACAAUGGAUCAGGAAAUUCCAUCAAUGCACCCUGUCUCUCUUUAGUAGGGAGCCGAGGCACCCUUCUAUGACUCAGUCUUGUCACGUUACAGUAUGAGGAACUGCGCAAAAGCAGAUUGAAGCAAA
Non-coding RNA from Bemisia tabaci, 343 nucleotides. NCBI's taxonomy places the organism in Eukaryota, Metazoa, Arthropoda, Insecta, Hemiptera, Aleyrodidae. The record is from RefSeq and is a predicted model, not a curated record.